AAGACUAUAGACCUGCGGAGUACCUGCGGAAGGAUCAUUAUCGUAUUGUAACAAUUGGGGGGGCCACCGUGGGCUGUCGUUGACCCUUUGAAAGGGGGGUCGUGCACGCCCCCAUAGUGUCAUCCUCAUACAAUCCAACUCACCUCUGUGCAUCACCGCGUGGGUUCCUUUCUGGGUCGAGUCAGACUGGCUCAGAAAAAAGGGGCUUGCGUUUUCCAUACAAAUACCCUUAUAAAUCCA
This 240-nucleotide unclassified non-coding RNA is filed under the name soil metagenome. RNAcentral's name for it is "partial contains 5.8S ribosomal RNA, internal transcribed spacer 2, and large subunit ribosomal RNA". The record is from RNAcentral.